RNAcentral lists this ribosomal RNA (428 nucleotides) under Staphylococcus pseudintermedius. RNAcentral describes it as "bacterial SSU rRNA". It matches the Rfam family "Bacterial small subunit ribosomal RNA", at positions 102 to 517 of the family's 1533-position model. Lineage: Bacteria; Bacillati; Bacillota; Bacilli; Caryophanales; Staphylococcaceae. The record is from RNAcentral.
ACGGGUGAGUAACACGUGGGUAACCUACCUAUAAGACUGGAAUAACUCCGGGAAACCGGGGCUAAUGCCGGAUAACAUGUUGAACCGCAUGGUUCUACAGUGAAAGACGGUCUUGCUGUCACUUAUAGAUGGACCCGCGCCGUAUUAGCUAGUUGGUGGGGUAACGGCCUACCAAGGCGACGAUACGUAGCCGACCUGAGAGGGUGAUCGGCCACACUGGAACUGAGACACGGUCCAGACUCCUACGGGAGGCAGCAGUAGGGAAUCUUCCGCAAUGGGCGAAAGCCUGACGGAGCAACGCCGCGUGAGUGAUGAAGGUCUUCGGAUCGUAAAGCUCUGUUGUUAGGGAAGAACAAAUGUGUAAGUAACUGUGCACAUCUUGACGGUACCUAACCAGAAAGCCACGGCUAACUACGUGCCAGCAGCCG